GGACAGAACGACAAUAUUUGCACGACAUAUAUAUUUGUUGAAAACCGAAGUCAUAAGGACCUGGGUUUCAUACAGUUCCUACCAGUUUUUCAGAAAUGCAUAACAGUGAGAAUUGAGUAGAACCGACCGAGACGACAAAGGAAGGUUUGGCUCUCUGGUAUAACAACCACGAUGGACCCAACGAAUGUGCUAUUUCCGCGACUGUUCGACAAGGCUCUUUAGCUGCCCUGUGUCUAUGGGACACCAUGCACAAUGGAUGCGGAAAACAUCUUGAAGAUGCUGAAGUACACUCAAGUAAUCAGUGCUGUUAAGACUGGGUUACAGAGCGAAGUGGUGGAAAAGACGAAAGAGAAAUUACAUUUGUACUGGAAUUGCGAUUAACACCAUCACUUCCAAGCUGGUCAUCGAAUACUUAAGGAUAAUGAUGAUAAACUCGGUUUUAAGCAGGACAUAGAAUACAUGUACUUGCGAAAAA
Molecule: long non-coding RNA, 475 nt
Organism: Hermetia illucens (black soldier fly)
Lineage: Eukaryota; Metazoa; Arthropoda; Insecta; Diptera; Stratiomyidae
Exons: 2
Source: RefSeq, a predicted model, not a curated record